GCCGAGCCAGGUAGCGUUGGCUUGUAACCCAAGCGGGGGCACGUGAGGUUUGGGAUGGUCAAAGGAACAACAGAUGGGUUGGUUGCGAUCGUGUAGGAGCCUGGCCUGUCCGUUCCAAGUCAGGUAGCUGAACCACGCGGCCUGGGCGAAGGCUCGAGCCCCAUGAUUCUUAGAGCAGAGGACACCGCGUCAGGCUGGCUUCACAGAGCAACGAUAACCACUCGCUCUUGACGGUGGGAGGAUAACAGGUCGGCGCACAUCGCAUCCACCACGCCCGCCUCGCUCCUUAGACCAAACCACCACCUUU
This 307-nucleotide signal recognition particle RNA is filed under the name Musa acuminata subsp. malaccensis (wild Malaysian banana). RNAcentral's name for it is "Plant signal recognition particle RNA". It matches the Rfam family "Plant signal recognition particle RNA". The record is from Rfam by way of RNAcentral. Lineage: Eukaryota; Viridiplantae; Streptophyta; Magnoliopsida; Zingiberales; Musaceae.